Molecule: ribosomal RNA, 963 nt
Filed under: uncultured bacterium
Lineage: Bacteria
Description: bacterial SSU rRNA
Rfam family: Bacterial small subunit ribosomal RNA
Source: RNAcentral
AGUCGAACGGCAGCACGGAGCUUGCUCUGGUGGCGAGUGGCGAACGGGUGAGUAAUAUAUCGGAACGUACCCUAGAGUGGGGGAUAACGUAGCGAAAGUUACGCUAAUACCGCAUACGAUCUAAGGAUGAAAGUGGGGGAUCGCAAGACCUCAUGCUCGUGGAGCGGCCGAUAUCUGAUUAGCUAGUUGGUAGGGUAAAAGCCUACCAAGGCAUCGAUCAGUAGCUGGUCUGAGAGGACGACCAGCCACACUGGAACUGAGACACGGUCCAGACUCCUACGGGAGGCAGCAGUGGGGAAUUUUGGACAAUGGGCGAAAGCCUGAUCCAGCAAUGCCGCGUGAGUGAAGAAGGCCUUCGGGUUGUAAAGCUCUUUUGUCAGGGAAGAAACGGUGAGAGCUAAUAUCUCUUGCUAAUGACGGUACCUGAAGAAUAAGCACCGGCUAACUACGUGCCAGCAGCCGCGGUAAUACGUAGGGUGCAAGCGUUAAUCGGAAUUACUGGGCGUAAAGCGUGCGCAGGCGGUUUNGUAAGUCUGAUGUGAAAUCCCCGGGCUCAACCUGGGAAUUGCAUUGGAGACUGCAAGGCUAGAAUCUGGCAGAGGGGGGUAGAAUUCCACGUGUAGCAGUGAAAUGCGUAGAUAUGUGGAGGAACACCGAUGGCGAANGCAGCCCCCUGGGUCAAGAUUGACGCUCAUGCACGAAAGCGUGGGGAGCAAACAGGAUUAGAUACCCUGGUAGUCCACGCCCUAAACGAUGUCUACUAGUUGUCGGGUCUUAAUUGACUUGGUAACGCAGCUAACGCGUGAAGUAGACCGCCUGGGGAGUACGGUCGCAAGAUUAAAACUCAAAGGAAUUGACGGGGACCCGCACAAGCGGUGGAUGAUGUGGAUUAAUUCGAUGCAACGCGAAAAACCUUACCUACCCUUGACAUGGCUGGAAUCCNNGAGAGAUNNNGGAGUGCUC